GGAUUCAAAAAGGGCUUAUACUAAGCAACAAUUAAAAGGAUACAAGGGAUUGGAUGCAUAUAAAUAUGCUACUUGUGGCUGGGUUAAACAGGUGGCUGUGAAGGUCUUUGGGUCUUAUGUCGUAGUCUUGGGAAAGGUACUUCAUUCCCAACGAUUAAAUGAACCUAUGUUGCAACCAUGGAUUAUUGCUGAAAAAGAGGGCAAUAUAUGCUCUGCCCAUUGCACGUGCAUCGCAGGUUUGGGGGAGGUAUGUACUCACGUUGGGGCCCUUCUUUUUACUGUGGAAUUAAACGUCCGGGAUUUGGAAGAGACUACAGUAACAGGAAAGAAGGCCUAUUGGAUGCCUCCUUCAGGAAAACCUGCUCAACCACAAAGAGUCUCAAAUAUAGAUUUUUCGGUACCAAAAAAAAGAUUGCCCCGGGACGAACCACUCACUGUUCGUGAUAAAGGUCAAGAAAACAUUCCAUCAUUAUCCCGAACAGAGAGACAAGAUCUUUUAAAUUUAUUUGCGUCCACUUCGCAAGGAUCCGCAGCGCAUUUAAUUACUAAUCCAUUUGCCCAAAGUAAAAAAGAAGAGAGGGACCAAAUAAAGAAGCAUUAGAUUACAACUUUAUUCAGUGAAGAUCACAUUCAUAAAAGCUUAAGUGAGCUGCAGGAAUUAGGUGCCUCUUUGGAUUUUUCUAUACCAGUUGCUGAUUGUAAGGAGAUUCACAAUACGACUAAAGAACAAGCGAAGUGUAAAGAUUGGUUUUGCUAUAGAGCUGGAAGGAUUACAGCGUCCAAAUUCAAACGUUGCUGCCGAACAAAUAUCGCGAAUCCCUCUUUAUCUUUACUCAAGUCUGUGUGUUAUCCAAUGACAUACAGUUUUAAAACAAGAGCAGUGGAUUAUGGAUGCACCUA
Tribolium castaneum (red flour beetle) is the source of this 900-nucleotide long non-coding RNA. RefSeq lists it as uncharacterized. NCBI's taxonomy places the organism in Eukaryota, Metazoa, Arthropoda, Insecta, Coleoptera, Tenebrionidae. The record is from RefSeq and is a predicted model, not a curated record. The transcript has 3 exons.